Molecule: transfer RNA, 67 nt
Filed under: Marmota monax (woodchuck)
Lineage: Eukaryota; Metazoa; Chordata; Mammalia; Rodentia; Sciuridae
Description: tRNA.Ala
Source: RNAcentral
GGAUUGUGGCUCAGUGGUAGAGUGCUCACCUAGCAUGCACGACACCAGGGAUCGAUUCUCAGCACCA